UGGGGGAAUUUUGGACAAUGGGCGAAAGCCUGAUCCAGCAAUGCCGCGUGUGUGAAGAAGGCCUUCGGGUUGUAAAGCACUUUUGUCCGGAAAGAAAUCCUUGGCUCUAAUACAGUCGGGGGAUGACGGUACCGGAAGAAUAAGCACCGGCUAACUACGUGCCAGCAGCCGCGGUAAUACGUAGGGUGCAAGCGUUAAUCGGAAUUACUGGGCGUAAAGCGUGCGCAGGCGGUUUGCUAAGACCGAUGUGAAAUCCCCGGGCUCAACCUGGGAACUGCAUUGGUGACUGGCAGGCUAGAGUAUGGCAGAGGGGGGUAGAAUUCCACGUGUAGCAGUGAAAUGCGUAGAGAUGUGGAGGAAUACCGAUGGCGAAGGCAGCCCCCUGGGCCAAUACUGACGCUCAUGCACGAAAGCGUGGGGAGCAAACAGGAUUAGAUACCCUGGUAGUCCACGCCCUAAAAGCGAUGUCAACUAGUUGUUGGGGACUUCAUUUUCCUUAGUAACGUAGCUAACGCGUG
Molecule: ribosomal RNA, 518 nt
Filed under: uncultured bacterium
Lineage: Bacteria
Description: partial 16S ribosomal RNA
Rfam family: Bacterial small subunit ribosomal RNA
Source: RNAcentral